AUAAAUUAAAUCACAAUGUAAUGUAUAUUUCAAAGGGUAUCUUGAUUUUAAGAAACGGUGUCUCGACUAAUUUCUUUCUUUGGCCGGUACUGGCGAAACGAGCUGUAGCCGCGUAUCUGACUUGUGCCCCUUUUCCUUACGACCACAGAAUUGUGCAGUCUAUUUUACAC
Molecule: long non-coding RNA, 170 nt
Organism: Maniola jurtina (meadow brown)
Lineage: Eukaryota; Metazoa; Arthropoda; Insecta; Lepidoptera; Nymphalidae
Exons: 3
Source: RefSeq, a predicted model, not a curated record